Molecule: ribosomal RNA, 994 nt
Filed under: Platyderus pyrenaeus
Lineage: Eukaryota; Metazoa; Arthropoda; Insecta; Coleoptera; Carabidae
Description: partial large subunit ribosomal RNA
Rfam family: Eukaryotic large subunit ribosomal RNA
Source: RNAcentral
CCCAGCACUGAAGCCCGCGGUCGGAAACGAUCGCCGGGCAAUGUAGUGUUUGGGAGAGCCCGUUUAACCUAAGUAUUUACGAGCGAGUCCAAGUCCUUCUUGAAGGGGGCCAUUCGCCCAUAGAGGGUGCCAGGCCCGUAGUGACCGUUUGUAUAUUUGGGUGGGUUUCUCCUUAGAGUCGGGUUGCUUGAGAGUGCAGCUCUAAGUGGGUGGUAAACUCCAUCUAAGGCUAAAUAUGACUGCGAAACCGAUAGCGAACAAGUACCGUGAGGGAAAGUUGAAAAGAACUUUGNAGAGAGAGUUCAAGAGUACGUGAAACUGUUCAGGGGUAAACCUGUGGUUCCCGAAAGUUCGAACGGGGAGAUUCAAUUGCCUCGCCGGUUAUGACCAUUUAACAGUGUGUUAUUAACGAGACAUUAUAUGCGUGCGGUUUACGCCGUAGCAGUUAUAUAGUGCUCCGCUGUUUUAUGUUAUUGUUUGUAGCCGGAGGCGUGCACUUCUCCCCUUGUAGGGCGUCAUGACCCAUUGGGCCGUGUAUUUAAAUGUUGUCUAAGGCUCAGAAAGGAGACCGUGGCGUCAAGUUUCGGCUUGUGCGCACCGGACUUUCAGAUGUCCCGACAUCUGCCCGAUGGUAUAAUUAUGAUGAUGGACCGCUAAAUUUAUUUAGUGAGCGUUUUUGAUCUGUGACAAAUGCUUAUACGAUUNAUUGUGGAAAACGGAUUAUANGCCGUUUCUGCACGUAUGGUAUUGUUAGUCANGGUAUAUUCUCAAACCGUUUCUUAUCAUCAGUCAAUGGCGUUUAUGUUUUGGGUAAUUACAGGACCCGUCUUGAAACACGGACCAAGGAGUCUAGCAUGUGCGCGAGUCAUUGGGACUCUAUUAAACCUAAAGGCGUAAUGAAAGUGAAAUAUUUUUUGAAUAUUUUUAUUCAUUGAAUUUGAGGGAAGAUGGUUAACGAUAUUUAUGUUAACCCGCAUUCCCGGGGCGUCGCGUA